Long non-coding RNA from Cygnus atratus (black swan), 764 nucleotides. RefSeq lists it as uncharacterized. The record is from RefSeq and is a predicted model, not a curated record. The transcript is spliced from 3 exons. NCBI's taxonomy places the organism in Eukaryota, Metazoa, Chordata, Aves, Anseriformes, Anatidae.
GUAGGUGUGUCAUGAUGGAAAACAAGUCACAUAGAAUUUAUACAGAAACCUACUGGACACUUGCUUGGGGAAGUAUACAUUAUUUUUAUCUGAUUAGUUUUGCUCUAGUCUUCUGUGGUCAUCUGAAGUGUAUGAGUACUAUGUUACAAAGGAUUUCCAUCUUCAGUGGUAAGCUUAGAAGAUAUAUAUUGACAAGUUAAAUGGGGAUCAAAUGCUUCACAGAUUAUGGAAUCUUUUUUCCAUAUGGCACCCCUACACUACAGUUUUAUGGGUCUAGUACUCCAGCUGCAUCAGUUUAUAGGAGGUGUAUAUGACACCUCUUACUUGGUGCCAAACUUAUUUCAUAUUCUGUAUCCCACCACUGAGGCAAAGGUAAACGAAGCAGGAUAGAAGACAGAAGAGGAUGAAUGAACCUGACAGUCGUUGUGUCACCUCAACCCAGAAGACAGAAAGUGCUAUGUUGCAACAGGAACCUCAUGGAAAUUCAUGACAGUUUUACCAUUCUCCCACAGUAAAUACUGGCCAUUCAGCUGCUUCUGAAAAGAACUUACUCCUUUCAGAGUCAACAUCUAAGCUCUGUAAGUGCAAUGGAAAUGAGUGAAGAAAUGGGUGAAGAGCAAAAUUUGCACAAGAUUUUUGGAAGAAGUUUACAAAAUGAUUAACCAUUCACUAGGAACUUGCCAAUAAAGUAUGAGACCAAGACCAUAAAUACAAUUUUUAUGUUGAAUUAUUUGACUAGUUAGUUUCAAUAAAUCUUUAAAUCA